This 997-nucleotide small RNA is filed under the name uncultured Acidimicrobiales bacterium. Its description in RNAcentral is "bacterial SSU rRNA". The stretch from base 1 to 490 matches the Rfam family "Bacterial small subunit ribosomal RNA", at positions 1045 to 1533 of the family's 1533-position model. The record is from RNAcentral. Lineage: Bacteria; Bacillati; Actinomycetota; Acidimicrobiia; Acidimicrobiales.
AUGGCUGUCGUCAGCUCGUGUCGUGAGAUGUUGGGUUAAGUCCCGCAACGAGCGCAACCCUUAUUCUAUGUUGCCAGCGCGUAAUGGCGGGGACUCGUAGGAGACUGCCGGGGUCAACUCGGAGGAAGGUGGGGACGACGUCAAGUCAUCAUGCCCCUUAUAUCCAGGGCUGCACACAUGCUACAAUGGCUGGUACAACGGGUUGCUAAUCCGCGAGGAGGAGCUAAUCCCCAAAGCCAGUCUCAGUUCGGAUCGCAGUCUGCAACUCGACUGCGUGAAGUCGGAGUCGCUAGUAAUCCCGGAUCAGCAACGCCGGGGUGAAUACGUUCCCGGGCCUUGUACACACCGCCCGUCACACCACGAAAGUCGGCAACACCCGAAGCCGGUGGCCCAACCUUUUAGGAGGGAGCCGUCGAAGGUGGGGUCGGUGAUUGGGGUGAAGUCGUAACAAGGUAGCCGUACCGGAAGGUGCGGCUGGAUCACCUCCUUUCUAAGGAGUCACUGUCUGGGCCAAUCCGGCUCAGAUACUCCUAGUCGAUCACUGACUAUUCGCUGUCACGCCUCUCCCACCCCUGGUGGACCGCACAUCUUCGGAUGCCCGUCGGCCAGGCCUGUGGGCUCUAGGCAUGACAUCGGGCCAUCACUAUUCCGUUUUGAGGGAGUGACCCUCGGUCCCUGCUCCAUGAGCAGCCCGGGGCGAUUCCAGUCCCUCCGACGCGAUGCCGCCACCCCACCUCGCGUGGGGCCGUCGGCCGCUCGCCCGUCCCUCCGCUUCCCGAUGCCGGUCUGUUCUUUGGCGUCGACGGACCGGUAGGCACGCUGUGCGCCCCUUGAGAAUUCCAUAGCGGGCACGAGCAUCUAUGUUCUCCAAGUUAUAAAGAGUCAACGGCGGAUGCCUUGGCGCCUGAAGCCGAAGAAGGACGUGGGAGGCUGCGAUAAGCCACGGGGAGCUGCCUACCAAGCGCGGAUCCGUGGAUGUCCGAAUGGGGAAACCCGG